GCGACCGUUGUCUAGUGGCUAUGAUGCAGGCUUCCCAAGCCUGCGACCCGGGUUCGAAUCCCGGCGGUCGCACCA
RNAcentral lists this transfer RNA (75 nucleotides) under Candidatus Thorarchaeota archaeon. Its description in RNAcentral is "tRNA-Gly". It matches the Rfam family "tRNA". Rfam says of the family: Transfer RNA (tRNA) molecules are approximately 80 nucleotides in length. Their secondary structure includes four short double-helical elements and three loops (D, anti-codon, and T loops). Further hydrogen bonds mediate the characteristic L-shaped molecular structure. tRNAs have two regions of fundamental functional importance: the anti-codon, which is responsible for specific mRNA codon recognition, and the 3' end, to which the tRNAs corresponding amino acid is attached (by aminoacyl-tRNA synthetases). tRNAs cope with the degeneracy of the genetic code in two manners: having more than one tRNA (with a specific anti-codon) for a particular amino acid; and 'wobble' base-pairing, i.e. permitting non-standard base-pairing at the 3rd anti-codon position. The record is from RNAcentral. Lineage: Archaea; Promethearchaeati; Candidatus Thorarchaeota.